This 273-nucleotide ribosomal RNA is filed under the name uncultured bacterium. RNAcentral describes it as "partial 16S ribosomal RNA". It matches the Rfam family "Bacterial small subunit ribosomal RNA", at positions 524 to 796 of the family's 1533-position model. The record is from RNAcentral.
GACAGAGGGUGCAAACGUUGUUCGGAAUUACUGGGCGUAAAGCGUGUGUAGGCGGCCGCGCAAGUCGGAUGUGAAAGCCCCGGGCUUAACCCGGGAAGUGCACUCGAAACUGCGUAGCUCGAGUAUCGGAGAGGUUGGUGGAAUUCUCGGUGUAGAGGUGAAAUUCGUAGAUAUCGGGAAGAACACCGGUGGCGAAGGCGGCCAACUGGACGAAUACUGACGCUGAGACACGAAAGCGUGGGGAGCAAACAGGAUUAGAAACCCGCGUAGUCC